UACGUAGGGGGCUAGCGUUGUCCGGAUUUAUUGGGCGUAAAGAGCGUGUAGGCGGCCAGGUAGGUCCGUUGUGAAAACCCGAGGCUCAACCUCGAGACGUCGGCGGAAACCAUCUGGCUAGAGUCCGGAAGAGGAGAGUGGAAUUCCUGGUGUAGCGGUGAAAUGCGCAGAUAUCAGGAAGAACACCCGUGGCGAAGGCGGCUCUCUGGGACGGUACUGACGCUGAGACGCGAAAGCGUGGGGAGCAAACAGG
Molecule: ribosomal RNA, 253 nt
Filed under: uncultured bacterium
Lineage: Bacteria
Description: partial 16S ribosomal RNA
Rfam family: Bacterial small subunit ribosomal RNA
Source: RNAcentral